GACGAACGCUGGCGGCGUGCUUAACACAUGCAAGUCGAACGGGCCUGUCUUCUUUUUUGGGGGUGGGUUGAGUGGCGAACGGGUGAGUAUCACGUGAGUAACCUGCCCUUCGGUCCUGGAUAACCGCUUGAAAGGGCGGCUAAUACGGGGUGGUCCGGUUGGUCCGCAUGGGCUGGUCGGGAUAGAUUCACUGUUUUUGGUGUUUCGGCGGGGGAUGGGCUCGCGGCCUAUCAGCUUGUUGGUGGGGUGAUGGCCUACCAAGGCGGUGACGGGUAGCCGGCCUGAGAGGGUGGGCGGCCACACUGGGACUGAGGUACGGCCCAGACUCCUGCGGGAGGCAGCAGUGGGGGGUAUUGCACAAUGGGCGGAAGCCUGAUGCAGCGACGUCGCGUGAGGGAGGGAGGCCUUCGGGUUGUGAACCUCUGUUUCCGGUGGUGAAGGCCCUGUCCGUGUGGUGGGGUUGACGGUAGCCGGGGAUGAAGCGCCGGCUAACUACGUG
Molecule: ribosomal RNA, 499 nt
Filed under: uncultured bacterium
Lineage: Bacteria
Description: partial 16S ribosomal RNA
Rfam family: Bacterial small subunit ribosomal RNA
Source: RNAcentral